Molecule: long non-coding RNA, 14835 nt
Filed under: Sorghum bicolor (sorghum)
Lineage: Eukaryota; Viridiplantae; Streptophyta; Magnoliopsida; Poales; Poaceae
Description: long non-coding RNA (SBIC_LNC015219)
Source: RNAcentral
GCUGCUCAGCAAACACAAAAGAUGCGCCUUGUGAUUAGCCAUUCCGACAACAAGCGCUAGAGGCCCUUCUGGUCAGUCUCACAGUUUGUAUCAAGUCUGAUAAUGCCUUUGCAGAUGACUUAGUGCUAGUUAGUAUGGGCUGGGACAUAGUUCAAGUAUCAGCGACUGACUGGUGCUACUGAAAGGGAAGGUCGGAAGGAUAUGUCAUGAGCAGGUUACAGCAGAGGUUAACCUCCACCGAUGGAUGAGUACAUACAGUGGAUGUGCCAUCCUCCUAGGAAGUUGGGUCUCCUCUAAGUCGGCUUGGAUCGAAACGGCAGAGAUAUCCCAUCGUUAACUUACCAAACCCAUGCAAUAGACAGGAAAAAACACAACAGUGAAUGCGUGUGAUAAACGAAAAACAGACAAAUGAAGGAUCAAAUGUUCAGCCUUAUAAUAUUUCAGCCUCAUUCAUGAUCAAUCUUAACUUUGGAGAAAUGUCACUUCGAUGACACUGAAUGGAUGGACUGUCAGCAAAUUGGCUUGGAAAUAUGGUUACCUUGACUAGUACGGAGACAAAGACCUGCGCAAGCAGCUGUGACAGUGUUCCAGCGCUGAUGACCUCCCAGCAGCUGGAGGUAUACAUCAUCCAAUCCAACCGACUGAAAAGGGAAGUUUGCGCUGAUCAGUUAGAAGAUUUGAAAAAACAGAUGGGAGCCUAUCACAUUCAGACUAAGUAGGUUACGUCGCGAUGAAACUCACCAAUGGUACAUCAUUUAAAAUCUCGAUGCUGAUGUAACAGCAUUGAUAUAUGGCUUUCCAUUAUCCCAACUUAUGCAUUUUGUAAAGUUCUUCAUGCCAGGGUCACAAGCAGAUAUCACGGGAGAUUGCAUCGUCAAGAAUGCCCUGUAACGAAAAAUUUGCUCAAUCUCUGCUCAAAAUGGUCCACCAAUCACAGUCUGACCAAAAAAAAUGUUUGAUAUCCAGGUUACAUGUUGUCUAGAACCUAAACCAAGAUGGAAUAAAAAAAAAACCCUGAAACGUAGUAUCAUUGAUUUGGACCAUGUAUGCUAUGUCAAGCAAUUCAAAUAAGAGUGAAGAUUUAAGAACAAAGUUGCAGCACAAAUUCUAAUGAUUGGAAAGGAUUAAAGAAGCUAAAUCAGAGAAAACUGGAAGAGGGAUGGUUCCUAAUACUGUUACAGUGGUGCUCUUUGCAUGCAGUGCAAUGUAACAAGGUAAGGUGCCACUGAUCAGAUAAUAACAAAGUAAAAUGGCCACCAAAAAAAAUUGAGCUACUUCACAUUCAGCAACUAACAUGGGUUAUCCGUUGGUGGAACCUUUUGGAAAAAAAAUAGUGCAAAAAAAAGGAAGUGUUUGUUACCUUGGAUUAGCAGCGUCGGAACUUAACUAUGGGUAUUGUUCCUUGCAGCUUCCGGCACUGCUUCUGUAGCUUCUCGUUGCUAUAACUGACAUCUAGCAUUUGAAGUGAAUUCGGGAGGCUGCCCUCAUGUAGCGACCUGAUAGCAGGACAGAAGCGGAUCUGUAAUAUCUUCAGUGAACUUGGAAGGCUUCCCUUUGGUAGCGACCGGAAGGCACGGCAACGAAUUAUGUGUAGUUCUGUCAGCGAACUUGGGAGGGUGCCCUUGGGCAGUGACCGGAUGGCAUCACAGCUCCAGAUUUGUAAUUCCACCAGGGAACAUGGGAGGGUGCCCUUCGGCAGAGACUGUAUGGCCUUGCAGUUGCUGAUUUGUAAUACUACCAGUGAACUUGGAAGUCCGCCCUUGGGUAGGGACCGAAAGCAGUCACAGAACCGGAUCUCUAAUCUCUUGAGGUUGGGAAGCCCACUUAACCCCUCUGGAAGGGACUGCAGCCUCGAGUACCACCCAAUAUGAAGAACCUGGAGGGAGGUGAGCAUCAGCAGGGCCUCCGAUUGCUCCAUUGUGAAGUGAUCCAAGUCGUCAUUCUUACCAAGCCAUAGCUCGGAGAGAGAGGAAGAGAAGUGGCCACCGAUGGGCACAGCAACGGCGCCCCCUGCUUCCUCAUCCGUUUCGAGCGCCGGCAGCCUGGAGCUAUGUUGGGGAAGAACUUGUUCGCACAUCCGCGAAGGCUCUGGGACAUCAAGUAAGUUGUGCGCCCCAUAGAUUACUAAUUCCUUGAGACGACCCUGGGCGAGGAGAUGCCAUAGGUCCUCAGAUCUUAGACCCCCACAAUCAUAUAGGUCCAAUUCGGUCAGAUUUGUGAGAGGAGCCAGCGUCAGCAUGCCAUCCUUCACACCCUCAAGCACGAGGGACUGCAGGGAGGUCGGGAAAGGGCAGUAAAAGGAGGGGAGCAAACUGGAGGAUAGAAGCAUGGGGCAAUCAUCUAUAAACAGUGAUCUCAGAGAGCUCUGAUUUUGGAGCAACUCCUUCAAUUGGAGGGGCAUGGGCAGCUGUCCUCCUACUGCAGCUUCUAUUUCCUCUGCUCCGCCUGCCUGCUUGUUAUCACACCUCCGUAGUUGCAACAUUGAGAGGUUAGUGAAAUAAGAGAUUAGCUGUACCAAUUCCUUCAAAGUGGCACCACAAUCUGAUAUCUGGAGCUGUUCAACUGGGAACUCGAAUGGGGAAUCAUUCUCACCUUCAGUUGGCCACAGGACACUACUAAAGUCACUUAUCUGAAGGGUCUUCAGAGAAUUUAGCAGCUGCAGGUGAUGUAGAGGCACUUGUGAGCAUCCAAAAAUCCUGAACUCCUUUAUUUCACUCAGAUUAGUAAAGGCCAAUACAUUCCAGAGUUCACAAUCAAGAGCAUCCUUUUUGAACACUACAUGAACUUUCUGCUCAUUUUUCAUAUAAUCUAUUUCCUGAGUACUUGUGCCCACUUCACACAGUCUAGCUUUGGACAGAGAACUACUCCAGGGAAUUGGUGGCACUGACACUAGCUUCUCACAUCUUGAAAUAUAGAUCUGCUGUAGGAUGGGAAACAUGUGCGGAGAUGGCAGCUCUGUAAGUUCAACACAAUCCUUAAUUGUGAGUACCUCUAGCGUAGAGAAAGGAUCAUCUGCACUCCAUCUUUUCAGAGUUGCUAUGUUGACAAGUUCUAGCCUCUUCAGAUUCUGAAAGAUUUGGCCAGCGAUGCUUGGUUGGUCUUCACCAACCAUCAAGAACUCUCCUAGCAGAGGUGGAAGACUUUUCCACGCUACACCUUCAAGGCAAAGGCAUUCCAAAUUCUUAACAGAGUGGUCUGUACAUAGCCAAGUAGGGUAUGUGUAACCUCCAUGUCCUCUAAUGCACACUUCUUGAAGAUUACUGUGUGGUUUAAGGCAUUCAAGAACAUCUUCUUCUUUUUUGGGGUCCUUGUUAGGUUGGUUUCCAUCCCAAUGUAACAGUAAUCGAUUUAAGUGGUGCAUGUAGACUAACUUGGUUUUUUCCACUUCUGCUGUUGCUUCAACCUUUUCAAGAUUAUGAAUCUCCAGUGACCCUUGGAGCUGUAACAAUUGCCUUAAUUGAUUCAGUUCAAACCCAUGUUUUUCUCUUUUGACCUCAAACCUCCUUAGCUCUUGUAUAGAUUUUAGUUUCCCAACCUCAGAAAUUUCAGAAUGACAAGAAUCAUAUGGCACAAGAAAAUGACGAAUUUUCACUAGGUUACUCAAUUCUCUUGUAGAACUAAAAUUAUUGCAUUGUUUUACAUCUAGGACCAACAAGUUAUAAAAUCUAGAUAUACUGCCAACUAGACUUGUUUCAUUUAAUACAUAACCCUUGAUCCUUAAGUAACGAAGAUGGACAAGUUGUGAAAAACUAGGCAACAAAAGCUCCACAUCAUAAGAUGCUCCAGAUAAGAAAAUGACAUGAAGGGCUUUUGCUUCCCGAAACAUAUCACUAAGUAUUUGACAAAAGCUUCCAUGGUGAUCUCCAAAUAACAUCAAAGUAUGUAGGUUUCCAGCUUUCAAUUUUUUACCAAGUGUAUCAAGGUCGCUCUUACGAUUUUCAAAUGUUGUUCUGUCUUGGACAUCUGCAUCAUUUAUGAUGAUGGACAUGUGAUGUAUUGAUGUGGGAAUUUGUAUUGACCAGACAUCAGACCCUUUUAUGCUAAGACAUUCAUGUGCUGCAACAUAUCUUGCCAAGUCAUGGAGUAGGUCAUGGAUCACAUAAUUUGUGUGGCCAUCCUCUUUUUUUUCUUCUUGGAAGAAACCGUGACUAACCAAGUCACAUAAAUAACAUAGUCCAGUGUCUUCGAUUCUCUUGUUUUGAUCAUUGGGGCCCAACAACCCUAGUCCAAUCCACAAGUGGAUUAACUCUUCCCUUCCAAAUUCAUAAUCUUCAGGGAACAAGGCACAGUGAGAAAAACACUGUUGUAGAUGGAAAGGAAGAUAGUUAUAGCUGAGCUUUAAUGCUGGCAUAAUGUCAUCCUCAUUGGCCUGAUAUUCCCAUUCUUUACUCUCAAAUACUCUUCUCCAAUGGUCCACGGUAAGUUCAGAUUUUAGCAAUCUACCAACAGUUUUUACUGCAAGAGGAAAACCUUUCAAUUUCUUCACUAUUUCCCACCCAACGGCAUGCAAAUUAGUAUGCUCUUCCCAUGGUUGUUUUUCAUCAAAAACACAUGCUUUGAAGAAAUGCAUGCAUUCUUCGUCAUUUAAGCGUUCCAAUCUUAUUGGACAGCCUAUUGUUGUAACCAAUUGUGCCACCUUUGGGAUUCUUGUUGUGACUAUUACCAUAUUACCUUUUGUUUGUACUUUCUUAAAUGGGGCUAGUAUUUUUUUCCAAUCAUCUUCAUGAUAUGUCCACAUGUCAUCCAAGACAAGAAAAAACUGUUUGGACUGUAAUCUUUUUUCAAUUAACUCUUCAACACUCUCAUUCCCAUUUUCAUUGUCAAGUUUAGGAAUUUGUUUCACAAUUUCUUGUGCCAACCUAUUUGCAUUGAAAUUUUGAGAGACACAUACCCAUAACAUGACUUGGAAGUGGCACUUUACUUCUUGAUAAAUGUGUUGUGUGAGUGUUGUCUUUCCAAGACCCCCUGGACCAACUAUUGAAAGCACAGUGAGAUCACUGCCCCGAUAUUUAGAGGUUAUUCCAUCUAUGAUAUCCUUUUUCACUUUAUCCCUCCCAUAUAACUUUGGCUCUAUGAUUUGUGGGGUCGUUGUUCUGGUUGUUUGGUUCAAUGUAGCACCUUGAAGGCCUAUGGUGCCUUUGGAGGCUAUGGUUCCCAACAGCUCUAGAUCAAGAAUAGUGGAGACCUUUGCACAUAACGGCUUGAGAUCAUCUACAAGUUGCGCCAGCCGAUUGGACAUAGCCAUCCUAUUGAACUUGGGCUUUGGUUUUCUAUGAUGCUGGCACAAAAAAGGAGCACAGGAGCAUGAUGGGAGCUUCAGCUUACUGACGACGGCCCCAGCCGUGUGGCGAACAUUGAGGACGAGGCCCUGGACAAGACCCUGAGCAUCAGCAUCAUCAAUGGCCUCAUAGGUCCCUUGGAGCUCGUCCUGGACACGGAAGUACUCCAGCUCAUCCAGCGCAUCAUCCGCGUCAUACGCUUUCUGGCGGAGCUCCAGGAGCAGGUGCCCCAGUGCGGGGUUAUGGACGCCCCUGCCACGGGCAUUGUUCAGCAUCCCCUGCGCGUACAAGAGCUCCAGCUUGAGGGCACGGAUGUUCGGGCCUAGCUCCGAACAGGCCGCCCACGACUCCAAGAGGCCAUCGGAGACAGGCCCCAGCGCCUUGCCCACCGCCCAGCGUGCCGCACCAAUGGCGAUCUCCAUUGAUUAUCCUCGGCUCCUCACUUGAAAAGGUGUUCAGGCAAUGAUGGUGACGAUGCUAGCUGCAUACAGGGAGUCGCUCAUAUUGUUACUACUAGCUAUGGAUAUAUAUGAGUAGUGUCAUUGCCCUACUACCCUUUGUCCGAUCCACAAAAGCAAUGCAAGGUCAAAGAGAUGAAGCAACUUACAUACGCAGGGUCGGCGAGAGUUCGAAUGUCUGGCCGGAGCUGCACAGUGAAGGUAGUCGAUUGGAAAGAUUGGCAGAUUGACGGUGAGGAUGUUAGCUGCAGAGAAUCCAUCGUAUUGUUAGUUGUUACUAGUAGCUAUGGAUAAGAGUACUGUAUGACGGUGAGGAUGUUAGCAAUGCAAGGUCAAAAAGAUGAAAAUGCUUAUACACAUACGCAAGGUCAGCACAAGCGAGGGGGAGCGCCUGGCCAGAUCGAGCUGCACUAGACGUGGACGUAGAUAGACAACAACGCCAAGUAGUGCUGAAGAGUCAAAUAUGCAAGAGCGGGCGGAUUGCGAGGUCAGACGGAACUGAUGUGUGUGAAGGACGAGAGGAGACCUGGAAGAAAGAAAUAGAAGCCCGCAGGCUGGGGCUGGGAGGUGGCCCUAUGCCUAGGAUGAUUAAUAUUUAAUUGCCAUUAGUUUAGCAGAAAGCAGAGGCAACACUUGGCUUUAAGAUACUAUCGUGCAAGCUAAGUAAGGUACUAAUCCACACCAAAAGAGAAAGCAGAAGAAUAAAACAACCUUAGUGUUAGUUAAUUUCAGACUACCUUGCUUAUUGGCCCCUGGGGCAGUGGCAGAGCCAAGAAUAUACACUAAAUUGACAAUAUUCGUUCCCUUGUGCAAACAUAUGAGACCACGCAUGCUGCUUAAUUACUUUAUUACUGCUUUGCUGCAGAACAAGACGUGCUGUCCAGGGUAACACCACAGCAUCUCUCUUUAGUUAGCCUGGAAAUCUGUGUUGGUUGGGUAUGGCAUAAUAUUACUUCUCUGCAGGCGAAAGAAGGAGCGAUGGGACAGCAAAGCAUCGUGGUAAGACAAAGCUUUAGCAAGCUAAGAGAUUUUGCGACAAGCAUGGAUGCCAUGGAACUUGUAAAAAGGACACUCCGCUUAAGAUCUUGCGCACCUAAAUGACGGAUUGCAGGCACACAGAGUCAAAGCGUUUCAGAUAAUCACAUCUGCCAAGAAUACUUUAGACAGGACGGACUGGUGCCGGACUAAUGGCGCGCGUCAUUACCUUGGGAGUUGGGGGACCUCUGGUUCAUGUUCAUGUACCCCCAAAUUGUAACCGGUUUUUUGAAGUACACAAAGCCCUACUGUAUUGUCUGCACUUAAAACUCAAUGGACGGGGCGCCGGGCGAGGGAAGGUGAAAAGCACUCUAUGUCUCUAUAUGGUAGACGUAGAUAAGACCUAAUUAAGUGCCGCUAGUUUAGCACAGGAAGCCAGAGACAAAAGUUGGUUGAAGAUAUUGGUUGUGCCAAGUUAAGUAUGGUUGUGCUACUAAUUAAUCCCCACCCGAAAAAAAAUCAAUAAUGGCACGAGCAGCUAGCAAGAAUGAGAGUAUGAAACAAUGCCCAGCCUUACUGAUUGUGAUUUAUACCUUGCUUGGCCCCGAGCAGCCGGCGCCGGUGCAGGAGCUUGCAAGGGAGGCGCAGCAGCAACGCCAUUUGGGGGAUUGGUUUUGCGGUUUUGCCCCCGCGCCUGCCACCCUGCCGGCUGCCCCACGCCCCGCCGACCGGCCGAGCCGCCGGUGGCGUGCCCGUGACUGGCCCCAUCCCGACUCGCCUACGCCUGCUACCCGUGGCGUGCCUCUUGCCGUCGUCACGGACCCGCCGCCGCUUCCCCGGCGGCCAUGGCUCAUUGGCGGCUAGCUCAUUGGGAAUUGGGGAACUACGAGUGAGCCGAGCCGUGAAAAGGCCUGCUCGGCUAGUCUGAUGCGUAGUGGGCAUGUUGGGCCGCCAUACAAUACAACCCAGAAAAGAAAGAAAAACGAGUCCUUUUCAUCACCAUUUAAAAAACUAUUCAUUCACAAAGUCCCAUUUUCCUCCCUUGUAUAUGAAUGAAAAUAUGAUUUUGAUCUCCUUCAACCUUUAAAAACGUUCUUGCGCCCUCUGAUUGCAAAAGUCCUUUAAAAUAAAACUGUGUUUCUUCCUCUGCGUUCCUUCUGAAAAGGCACUGAUGUCUUUUUUAAAGAAACGUUGAAAAUCUUCAAGGUUUUCCUGAUCGACUAGUCUGAUGACGCCAAGCCUGCAUUACUCCAAAUCAUCAGGUUUCAGUUAAUUCAAGUCCAUUCCACCCGGGCUUGCCUGAAAGGCUGCAAUGCAUCAGUGACAGCAAAUUCUUAUUGUCAUUGACGUUUACAGCAUGUUUUUUUACCAAUAUAUGUUAGAGUUAUGGACUUGAGCAGAUCUUUUAAUUUGGAGAAAACUUAAAGCAAAUUUUGAUGCACAUAAUCACAUAGACUGGCCAUACACAUCCAUCAACUACAGAUUGAUGGAAUCAUGAAUCAUCUAUCCAUGUACCAUUUGGGAGGAUUGGCUGGAUUAGACCGUUUCCAUCCACCUCCAAACUUUCCACUGUAUAAGGAUGAUGGAUACAAGUUAUCUUUACAAUCUCUAGAGAUUACACAAGAAGCUGAAAAGCAUCAUUGUAAAACCAAGAGCUAACAGGAGGUAACUAUUUCACCGAAACAAUGUCACACUGCUAAAUCUGGCAGCCUGAAGUUGCUGAUCCAUUCCGCAUACCGCUGAAUAAUGGUAAACCCAAAAACAGAGAAAACUUCUCAAACAUCAUCUCCAUUCAGCUGCUACUGACACACCAGUCUUCUCCGUAGCUGCUACUGAAGCAAAAGAAUUUUUUUUAACUUUUUUGAGCUGCCUCUUUGGAGGAAGGAGGCAUGUAAACUCUUCUUUGGAAGUUAAGAAGACAUCCUGGAAAAAGAAUAAUGGAUUUUGUUUCUCACCCUGACCAUCCUAUAGCAGUUGAUCCAGCCUCAACCCCUCAACCAUUCAAAUCUUCACACACCAAAUCCAAAUACUGAACAUGUAUGUUUCAAGAUAAUGAAACAGAACAGCUAUCACAGAAAUGAACCGUGCUACUAAUUAAGUAACAAAUGGAAUACGUAAGGUUUGGUUAGCCUCACUAUCCAGCACAAAUCAAUAGCCAAGAAGAAAUCUCUACAAUACAAUAACCAGCUAGAAAUAUUCAGUUUAACUUUCAGAGUGCAAUGUAUGCAAUUAACAAGCUUACACCUCGGCGAACAUAAUGUGUUGACUGUUGACUUCUCACAAAAGACAAUCUACUUUCCACAGAAUUUCAACAUGCUCAAUUGCUCAUUGGUGACCAGUGCUCACUCGAAUUAGGUUUCAUUUCUUUCCCAACAAACAAAUUAAAGUAUUGCUCCCAGUAACCUCGUAGAUGUUAUACAUGGACGUGGCUUCAAAAGAAAGAGGUUACACUUGUUAUCCCUGCAGAAGAGGGCACGCCAGCGAUCCACUCGAUCACUGUAUCAAAAACUUGUGCAAAAUAAAAAGCAAUUAAUUCCAGGAGUUAACUACCUUCACACAAAUGGAAAAGGUAGUUUCGAUAUUUUCUUCGAUAUUCAUACCCACUGGAACCAAAGUGUUAAGCCCCACUUAUAGCACACUUUCAUCUUGAUUUUGAAGGCCUUGCUUCAUCAGGUUUGAGUUUUGUAUUUCAUGGACUUGCAGCAAUAGCUUCUGGUUCCUCUUCUGUAGCGACUAAUCUCAGUGCUGCAGAAAAAAACAAAUAUCAAAAACAAGGUCUGCUGAUUGCGGAAUUGAUAAUCCAUCAGUGAACAUUUAAUUACCAACCAAUCACAUGUUCCAACAAGUUGCUACAACUAAAAAAGCAACAAUACAUCCUAUAAUCUCAGCUCCAUCAGUUAAUAAGUUGCAUAGAUCAUUAACAGAAGAUAGACUUAGAGCUCCUGAGGAACCUCCCUUUGUUUAACAUAAUAGCAUCAUCAAUAUACUCUAUCUUAUUAACUGACAUUCAACCGAUCAAGGGUAAGAAAUUAGAAAUGUGCUGCAUUGAACAAAGGCACAAGGUAGACAUCUAUAGUGUAGAGUAACAACUUUAGUGCUAUUUUUUCAGCCUAAACUUUUCAACACCCAUCAUGUGUCUAAUAUAGAUGUAAAAUAGAUGAAGAAAUUCCUAGAUGUGUAUUGGCCAUUGUUGGGCUGUCCCAGGCCAUGUGCCAGGUGGGCGACAGCAUAGGACCGGCAGAAACAUGGAGGCUGAAAAUUUAACCUUUUUACUACUUAGUAUUAUUAGUUAUUAGCAAACCUGAUCAUGCCUCCAGUUAAUGUUUUCUUUUUCUUAUUAUGCGACAACAUUCCAGAAAAAACACUGUGGUUUCCCUCCUUCCUCUCAAUCCCUUUCCAUAUCUGUCCUGUUGCAGACCAAUAGUUUCCCAUUUUUUAUGAGAAAAAAAAUAACAGAUCUACUCCAAAUUCUCCUCCCUCUCUUAUUAAUUUGUGAUGUCAUUAGUUUGAUACUUUGAAGUCGUAGAAGUUUAUUGACUAAAUUACCCUAAUGUGGAAAGUUCGGGGCCUAAAUUAGAGUUUGGCACAUGCCCCCAAACUUUCAGUCAUGACCUGCAUGUGUAGCUAGUGUCAGAUUGUCUGUAACCAAAAUAAAAGGUAUUGGUAAGCAUAACAAAGUUCAUGUCUAUCUUAUCCUAUAAAUUUGCUGAACACAUAUAGUAUCGUACUAUCCAUAUUUUCGUUACUGAAAAUUUACAUGUUCCCAACAUUGUCAAAUCAUAAACCAAGCAAAGUUGUACCGGAGUGCAGAGGGACAUAGCAAAAUUGUACCUGGAGUGCAGAAGCUCGUGUAGGGAACAACACAGGGAACACGACCAAGCAAGCCAUCUUCAUCACAUUCCCCCUUGUAUACCUUCCGCACCCGACCAGACUUUAGAUCAAAACUGAAUAGCACACCAUCAUUCAUUCCCACGAAAAAGACAUCAACACCAUGCACAAAGCCAAGGAAGCCAUAUGAUGGAGCCGGCAUCGACUGGAAGCAACUUCUGAAGCUCAAUGACUCUAGUCCGUGUCCAUCCCACGCCUCCGUUUGGAUUCACCUCCAUUGACCAGAGCAAGAGUCUGGCGGCCAUAUCCACUCUUGCAAAUCCCAGCCCACCACCCUCCAUCUCCAUGAGCGCAAUAGCACAAUUGGAGGCUCGAGGUAAGUGAAUCACAGAUGUCUCCCUUGUGACCAAAUCAAAACCAAGGACCCUACUGCCAUUAUCAAUCGAGAAGUAGAGUGUGUUCCCCACAAGGGCAGUGGGCACUAGAUCGACGCUGCACAUGGGGACCAGAGUCGGCUCGCUCCAGCAGGAUGCCGCCGAUGAGUAGACGCGCAAGGACCAGCGCUGGCCCUGGCUGCAGCUGUAGUACUUGGUGACAAAGCGAACGACGACGAAGGCUGUACCAUCGGCCGUGGGCUCGCGGAGCACAGUCGCGUACCACUCGUCCCGUUCACAUUCGUCCAGGACUGGUAUCUCCCACCGCUCGCCCGUUGUCGGGUCCCAGAUGACGAGGGCGUCCACCUCGUCGUCACCCAGGACGAAGUGGAGGACGACGAGGCCGUGGCGGGCGUCGAGGACGACGCAGUCGCGGACCGGCGGCGGAAAGAGGAGGUGGGGACGAACCGGGCGAACAAGGGGUUGCAGAGGAAGCCGAGCAGUGGUGCUGUGCGGUGUAACUCCUUGAACCGGCGGCGGAAGCUGCGGGCACAGACGAUGCGGCACCAGGGCUUGCAGACGAGCGCGGCGCGGACGAGGCUCACGGGAUCGGCCGGUGGGAGGCGGAGGAGGAUCUCUUCGACGACGUCGGCCGGCAGCUCCAUACUGCUACAGAUCCGGGGAGAGGAGCGGCGCUGCCUGGUGCGAAUUGGCGCGUUUAGAGUAGACUAGUGAAGGUCCAAGUGCUCGUUUUGUUUGAGCCCCACUUCCUGUACCUGUAGCAAAUGGGGCAGGAAAAUUAUAAGAGCAAGGAAGUUUAAGAAAACAACACAAUGUCCACACUUUUGAUAAUGCUUUUAUGUGGAAAAACUCUCAAAAUGAGGAGUAAAAAACCAUGGGACCAUCACGGUCCACUGCCAAACUUUCCAUUACAUGAGGAUGAUGAAUACCAUGUACUCUUUACAAUAUCUACAGAUAAUAUUAGAUCUGAAAACCAUCAUAAUAAAACCCUUGCACGACCAAACAUAACCACGAAUGUAACCUUGAGCUAACAGGAGUUAACCACUUCACCAACAUAAGGUCAUGCCGUUGAAUCCUGAAACAGUCAAUCCAUUUUGCACGCUGCUGAACAAUGGCAACACAAACUAAAAAAGUCUCUCUCAAACGUGAUGUUCUUCUAGCACAGUACACAAGUUUUUCCACAGCUGCGGCUCAAGUAAAACAUGUUUUACUGAACUUCUUUUCAAGUCUAUCUUUGGAGCAACGUGGCAUCUAAACUUGUCCGUGCAAAGGUGUUUUUCUCCCUUUUGAACCCCAGUAUCUUGAACAUGACUUAAGACCAUGCCAGUUUCUAGGCUCAUUGAUGCUGCUGCAACUGCAAUGGAACUAUGAAAUGACUGCACCUCUACCAGUUGCAGCAUCGCUACUCACUUGGUACAAAGAACAUCCAUAGUUCAGAACAAUCCCUUUCCUAAAACAGAAGACAAAUUGAAUAAUUGAAGUCACUUAUUUGCAUAAUGUCACGGACAUAAUAUUAAUCUCUAUGUAUCCUAAUGUCACCACAUUGACAGAGAAGCAAAUACUAUUCAUUUUCAAAAAUUGUAAAAUAUCUAUAUUUUCAUUAUCUUCAAAUUCAGUUAUGAGUGUUCAUUUUAUAUUAUCAGAAAAAUCAGUAUGUUUCAUAGAGGCUUCCAACAUUAAGACCUAUUUGUAUAAUUAUGUACUGUAAUAUUGUAUGGGCAUGGCUAUUUAAAAGGUCAAAAAGGGGGCAGCAGCCAGAUAUAUCUAAAUAAUGAAACAAGCUACAACGUCAUAUCAGUAUGGCUCAGUGACUGACUGACGCUCCUAACAUAACCAGAGAGAGAGAGAGAGAGAGAGUUUCAAAUGUUCAGCCUUCUAAUAUUUUAGCCCCAUUCAUUAGCAAGCUUCAAGUAAGGAAACAAAUUUUACAUGCUAUUAACACUGGAAAAAUGUCACUUCAAUGAAACUGGAUGGAUGGAGUGUCAGCAAAUUGGCUUGGAACUAAUAAAAUUUCUAUGUCUAAUAAAAUUUACAGGCACAACUUUAUUUUUGUCGUCUUUACAAAAAACAAAAAAAAUGAGAGAAAGGAGGUGAGAUACUGAGAGAGAUAUUUUGCAGAAGUAGCGCCUCAAAAGCCAGCAGUCUUGUAGGAGUACAAAACAGCGGGCUGCUGUGCUGCCGCCCCACACACGACCUGCGAACCCCAGGAUGAGGCUAUGCCGAUCCCAUCAGCAGAGACGAUGCCUGCCAUGCUUGCCUGCCGUCCACGCGUGUGUCACAUGCAGUUGACCAUCAAAAGAUGCACACCACACACCACAGUAACGCCGAAAGAUCCAUCUCAGAAUCUAUCCAUCCAUCAAGGGAAAGAGAGGCAUUCGAGAGCCGGCUGGUACAGCUUCAGCAUUAGCACCCAGCCACCCACCACUCCCUACUACCGCCUACCUCAGUCUCAGUGCAACUUCCACUUUGCACUCAUCAACCAGUGUCUCUGUAUGAAUGGCGUGAAAACGAAAUGCCCGGCCCCUCUUCCUCAACGCCGGCGCCCCAGCUGUUGCAGUACUGGCAGCGGCAAGACGAAGGGAUGUAGCCGGCCGGCGACGCAGACAAGGCGAGCGCGCCGGCCCUGCAACAGCCACUUCUAGUCUUGUAUGCUCGCGAACUCCCAUUGUCGGACGCCCAACAGUACGCAUCUCCUUGCUCUCCUAUUCCUGACACAAGGCCUUCCUUGCUGAGCGAUGGACCGGCCAAACUGGCCAACCUGUUAAUGCGCUCUGGGGUUUCAGCGCCGCUGAGAGAUGCCGCCGAUGGAUGUCCACACACUCGAUGCACCUGGCCGCGUGCUGCGGCUAUCCAUGAUUCUUUCAGGGACGAGGUUGCUGGCGUCGCGCAGGAGGUUCCUCUAGGGAUGCAAUGCGAUGCUCGCCUCCGUCAGUAGCACGGCAUCAGGCAGGCAUUCCACCUGCAGCAAGUUUCAGAGAAUAAUGUGGUAUCAAUUUCAGCAAUAGCUUCCACUUACGUGCCUGCCUGCCUGCCUGUCUGCCUGGAUUAAUUUCAAAUGCUCAGCAAGAGAUGACUAGUCCCACUACCUGAGUGAAGCUGCUAGCAAUCGCAAGAUGCUCCUUGUCAAUAUCCAUGCUGACAACAAGCGCUGGAAGCCUGUUAUGGUCUGACGGUUUCUUUGACUUCUAUACGUCUACGGCCUCUGCAGAUGCCCCCAUAUGUGCUGAGACAUAGUUCAAGCAUCAGCGACAACUGACGCUACUAAGAAGGCGAGGGAUGUCAAUAGCAGGUUAUAGCAGAGGUUAACCUCCAUCCACGAGUACAGUGGAUGCGCCCCGAUUGAGUACUGACGCUUCCUCUGCUGUCAGAAACUGGCUCCUCCGAGGAAGUUGAGUCUUCCUCGCGCGGGUGGUUGCUCUGGCAAGCGGCGAUGCCAUGGCGAUGCUCGUUUCCAUCAGUAGCAUGAUGUCAGGCGUUUAACCUGCAGCAAGUUUUAGAGAAAAUGUGGCAUCAACUUCUGCAUUAACUUUCAAUCAUACGCCGGCAAAACCAAGGGAUGGCUAGUCCCACUCAGUACCUGAGACAAGCUGCUCAGCAAACACAAAAGAUGCUCCUUGUCAUUAGCCAUUCCAACAACAAGCGCUAGAGGCCCUUCUGGUCUGUCUCACAGUUUGUAUCACAUCUGAUAAUGCCUUUGCAGAUGACUUAGUGCUAGUAAGUAUGGGCUGGGACAUAGUUCAAGCAUCAGCGACUGACUGGUCCUACUGAAAGGGAAGGUCGGAAGGAUAUGUCAUGAGCAGGUUACAGCAGAGGUUAACCUCCACCGAUGGAUGAGUACAUACAGUGGAUGUGCCAUCCUCCCAGGAAGUUGGGUCUCCUCUAAGUCGGCUUGGAUCGAAA